UACGUAGGGUGCAAGCGUUAAUCGGAAUACUGGGCGUAAAGCGUGCGCAGGCGGUUUUGUAAGUCUGACGUGAAAUCCCCGGGCUUAACCUGGGAAUUGCGUUGGAGACUGCAAGGCUGGAGUCUGGCAGAGGGGGGGUAGAAUUCCACGUGUAGCAGUGAAAUGCGUAGAGAUGUGGAGGAACACCGAUGGCGAAGGCAGCCCCCUGGGUCAAGACUGACGCUCAUGCACGAAAGCGUGGGGAGCAAACGAGGAUUACGAA
This 262-nucleotide ribosomal RNA is filed under the name uncultured bacterium. RNAcentral's name for it is "partial 16S ribosomal RNA". It matches the Rfam family "Bacterial small subunit ribosomal RNA", at positions 524 to 784 of the family's 1533-position model. The record is from RNAcentral.